Molecule: ribosomal RNA, 224 nt
Filed under: Ligilactobacillus salivarius
Lineage: Bacteria; Bacillati; Bacillota; Bacilli; Lactobacillales; Lactobacillaceae
Description: Lactobacillus salivarius partial 23S ribosomal RNA
Rfam family: Bacterial large subunit ribosomal RNA
Source: RNAcentral
CGCUGGUGUACCAGUUGUUCCGCCAGGAGCAUCGCUGGGUAGCUAAGUAUGGAUGAGAUAAACGCUGAAAGCAUCUAAGUGCGAAACUCACCUCGAGAUAAGAUUUCCCAUUACGUAAGUAAGUAAGUAAGAUCCCUGAAAGAUGAUCAGGUAGAUAGGAUGGAAGUGGAAGUGCUGCGAGGCAUGGAGCGGACCAUUACUAAUCGAUCGAGGACUUAACCAAG